AUCUACGGCCAUGCCACUCCGAACAAGCCAGGUGUCUGAUCUCAGAAGCUAAGCAGGGUCAUGCCUGGUUAGUACUUGGAUGGGAGACCACCUUGGAAGACCAGGUGCUGUAGGCA
Molecule: non-coding RNA, 116 nt
Organism: Pteropus alecto (black flying fox)
Lineage: Eukaryota; Metazoa; Chordata; Mammalia; Chiroptera; Pteropodidae
Source: Rfam